CUUUUUAAAUGCCUUUGAGUGUUUACGAAAAAAGAAUCAACCAAAUAAAAAUGUACGAUCGAUCGACUUAUAAUUAGUAUCACAUUCGAUUGAAUUUUUUUGUACUUUAGAUAAAGAUAUCAUCAAAUUUUUUCAACUGGUAAACUUAUAGCAUGACGUUGUAUAACAACGUGAAAAAUCUCGACGUCGAUAUCGAGCGAAUGCAUUUUUUCGAAAGUUUCUCUCGCGUUACACUUUGACGAAUCGCCUGCUUCUACUCACAACAUCUCGGAAACUUUCCGUCGUUCAUACGAUUAUCGAUGCGCUUGUUUUUUAAUCGCUGGUCUUAUCUACGCGCCACAAUUCGUAAUUCGCGAUCUGUCUAUUUGAAAUUCGCUGGCUCUUACGCAGGUCGUGCAACAUGUGUACGUAACAGACGUUCGAGAAGAAAAUUAGAAUGCAAAUGUAUCGAGACAAAUUUGAAUGCAAUAGCAGUACAUGUUAAAAGGAAGUUAACAGCUGGUAUUUUUCAUCUUGAAUAUGGCACAACAAAGUAAAAUGAAACUGUGACCAUAAGAUGGAAUAUCGUAUGAUCAUGAAGAUUCGCGCACGUGAUGAACGAGGAUCGCAAAUAAUGACGCGACAACACGAGGAAGAAUGCGAACGGCGACACGUGCUGCACGUGGACGAUAGUGUUACAUGCAUGAUUGCAGGUAUCACGCAGCUAAUCCGCUGAUAACUGCCGUGACCAGCCUCCGCUGCUUUGUUCAUUGUAAAUAGGAACACGCGUAACUCGAUAAAAGUCCCUUGUAUGUGAACGCUGACGGAAGCAGAAAAAGAAACGCGAUACUUGUGAUUAAACUGUCGUCGUUUAUCAAUGCAAUUUUCAAAAAUCUUUUCUAGCCUUCAGAAAUUCGAUAAUGACUUAAUCUUAGAAAUAGUUAUUAUCCUCGUAAUAAAAAUACUUUUACAAGAACAUCGAUUUUAAAUUUUCAGGUGGGCAUGAUAAACAUUUUUCUGAUUAAUUAUUAUUCAUGUAACCAAAACAGAUACGAGUACGUGUUUAAUGAGAAGUAUCUCAUCAAUCUAAAAUGAGCGACUCCUAACUAUUCCUCGAUUAAAGUAUUUCUGUUAGAUCGUCCGAAAAGUUUCUUUCGUUUUAUAAGGAAGUGAUGGACGCGCAACAUUUGAUAUUCGUUGUGAAAGACGUGUUUGUAAAAGAAAGACUAUUCGGACAACCUAAUAUUUAGUAGAAUAAUUAGUAUACAAAUAUGCUUCACAAUUGUAUCACAGAAUACACUAUAUUGGAAUAACACAAGAAUAUGUAAUUUCCAUUGUGAAUCGUUAUUAUGUUUGACUAAAGAAUUAUCCAAACUAGGCCACUGAUAAAUAAUCUAAGCGUCUCUAAAAACAAACGUUUGGUGUCAUGACUUACGUCGCUGAACGAUGAUUAAAUAAUUGUGUAAAUUUCCCAAGGGAACUAAAACGUUGUCGUUAAUUCUGUUCGUUUGCCAACGAACAUCGAGUAAGAAAAGAUACUGCGAGUAUGUUUCUUA
RNAcentral lists this unclassified non-coding RNA (1535 nucleotides) under Bombus terrestris (buff-tailed bumblebee). RNAcentral describes it as "misc RNA ENSBTSG00005028270.1". The record is from RNAcentral. Lineage: Eukaryota; Metazoa; Arthropoda; Insecta; Hymenoptera; Apidae.